This 458-nucleotide ribosomal RNA is filed under the name uncultured bacterium. RNAcentral describes it as "partial 16S ribosomal RNA". It matches the Rfam family "Bacterial small subunit ribosomal RNA", at positions 338 to 795 of the family's 1533-position model. The record is from RNAcentral.
CCUACGGGAGGCAGCAGUGAGGAAUAUUGGUCAAUGGGCGAGAGCCUGAACCAGCCAAGUCGCGUGAGGGAGUACUGCCCUAUGGGUUGUAAACCUCUUUUGUCGGGGAGCAAAAGCCGGACGUGUCCGGCUGUGAGAGUACCCGAAGAAAAAGCAUCGGCUAACUCCGUGCCAGCAGCCGCGGUAAUACGGAGGACGCGAGCGUUAUCCGGAGUUAUUGGGUGUAAGGGGGGCGCAGGCGGAUUUCUAAGUCUACGGUAAAAUCGUGGGGCUCAACCCCAUACAGCAGUUGAAACUGGGGAUCUAGAGUGUGCGAGAGGUAUGCGGAAUGCGUGGUGUAGCGGUGAAAUGCAUAGAUAUCACGCAGAACCCCGAUUGCGAAGGCAGCAUACCGGUGCACAACUGACGCUCAGGCACGAAAGCGUGGGUAUCGAACAGGAUUAGAUACCCGAGUAGUC